AUGUCAGGAACAUAUACUCUGUGUCAGGAAUGACACAGAGAAGAUUAGCAUGGUCCCUGUGCAAGGAUGGCAUGCAAAGCUGAAAGGAGCCUGAUAUCUCU
RNAcentral lists this small nuclear RNA (101 nucleotides) under Mus spicilegus (steppe mouse). The record is from RNAcentral. Lineage: Eukaryota; Metazoa; Chordata; Mammalia; Rodentia; Muridae.